Molecule: ribosomal RNA, 754 nt
Filed under: uncultured Glomus
Lineage: Eukaryota; Fungi; Glomeromycota; Glomeromycetes; Glomerales; Glomeraceae
Description: SSU rRNA
Rfam family: Eukaryotic small subunit ribosomal RNA
Source: RNAcentral
GGCCUACCAUGGUGGUAACGGGUAACGGGGUGUUAGGGCACGACACCGGAGAGGGAGCCUGAGAAACGGCUACCACAUCCAAGGAUGGCAGCAGGCGCGCAAAUUACCCAAUCCCGACACGGGGAGGUAGUGACAAUAAAUAACAAUACGGGGUUCUUUCGGAUCUCGUAAUUGGAAUGAGUACAAUUUAAAUCUCUUAACGAGGAACAAUUGGAGGGCAAGUCUAGUGCCAGCAGCCGCGGUAAUUCCAGCUCCAAUAGCGUAUAUUAAAGUUGUUGCAGUUAAAAAGCUCGUAGUUGAAUUUCGGGGUCAGCAGGUCGGUCGUGCCACUGGUAUGAACUGGCCUCGCUGAUCCCUCCCUCUUGACGAACUGUGAUGCCAUUAAUUUGGUGUCGCAGGGAAUCAGGACUGUUACUUUGAAAAAAUUAGAGUGUUUAAAGCAGGCUCACGCUUGAAUACAUUAGCAUGGAAUAAUGAAAUAGGACGUUUGAUCCUAUUUUGUUGGUUUCUAGGAUUGACGUAAUGAUUAAUAGGGAUAGUUGGGGGCAUUAGUAUUCAAUUGUCAGAGGUGAAACUCUUGGAUUUAUUGAAGACUAACUACUGCGAAAGCAUUUGCCAAGGAUGUUUUCAUUAAUCAAGAACGAAAGUUAGGGGAUCGAAGACGAUCAGAUACCGUCGUAGUCUUAACCAUAAACUAUGCCGACUAGGGAUCGGGAUGAUGUUAAUUUUUUAAUGACUCAUUCGGCGCCUUACG